UAGUUAAUUUGUGUAUUGGACAGAAUUAAAAAUUUUCAGUCCGUAAACUAAUCCGCAAAAUGGUGAAUUAGAUAUGGAUUGGGUCAAAUCCGCAUCCGAUUCACAGACAUGGAUUGAAUUUGGAUUGAAUUUCACCGAUCUGUGGAUUGAAUUGAAUUGGAUUGAAAAUUUAUAAUCCGUAAAAUCGUGGAUCGAAUAUGAAUUGAUGUCCAAUCCGUAAAAUCCGAUCCACGAACACUCCUAGUUCAGCCAAAGGUCGAAUGACUAAUUUAUUUUACUUUUGAUUUUUAAAUAGGAUAUAUCUUUAAUUUAUUAUUAUAAAUUCUCUAUAUUAUUAACAUAUUGUUAUUUAUUUAUUUUUUUUCAUUCAAUGCAAUUAUGCAUGCAAUUCAAAUACAUAUAUUGGGAGUUUACCACUAAGGCCAUUAGCAAGGUGUAAAAUCCUCAUUUUUUCCCUACCAUAGAGAAAAGUUAAUAUAGCACACUAUAUAUAGAUAUUGUCUUUAUUUAAUGCAAAUUAAAUAUAUCUGAUAAGUUUUAUAAUGUGCUAAAAUUAUAAAAAGUUUGAACUCUUGAUGAUUCUGAUGGUAAUACUAGUAUAUUAUAAUAAAAGCAUAUUAGAUUGCUAAUAAAUUUAUUUGCGUACGUAAUUGAGAAAAUUUUGUGAGGUAAUACAUUGCAAUGAGAUCAUAUUCAAAAUAAGAUGCGGUAUUUAAUUGAGAGGUUCUCAUAUAUUAGAAUAUGAAUUUAGUAAGAAUUUAUUUUAUCAUUUUAAAAUUUUGAGAACUCAAACUUAGGCCUCAGCUCAAAUUAUUAUAUUUUUCUCAAAUUAGCUUUUUUAAUCUAAAAAUAGUAAAUCAAAACUAUUUCUUAUCUUUCUCGAUUUUUCGAUCAUAUCUUUGUGACAUAUUCUUUUACAUUAUGAUGAGAUGCCAUAAUUUUUUUCAUUAGUGGGAGAUACCACUCCACGCUGAAGUAUAAACAAUAUAUAUAUUUUUAGCAAAGAUUACAGGAUUUUUUUUUUUUUGG
Molecule: long non-coding RNA, 1029 nt
Filed under: Citrus x clementina
Lineage: Eukaryota; Viridiplantae; Streptophyta; Magnoliopsida; Sapindales; Rutaceae
Description: Citrus clementina (C. clementina) long non-coding RNA (CCLE_LNC005413)
Source: RNAcentral